This is a non-coding RNA of Glossina brevipalpis, 88 nucleotides long. Lineage: Eukaryota; Metazoa; Arthropoda; Insecta; Diptera; Glossinidae. The record is from Rfam.
GGGGUAGGUUUAGUACGUAGACGCCAUGGAUGGCGAAUCGUGCAUGCUACUGGCACGGACUAGUAGUAUCUAUUAAGAUUUCAACCUC